This 255-nucleotide long non-coding RNA is filed under the name Carica papaya (papaya). Its description in RNAcentral is "long non-coding RNA (CPAP_LNC000712)". The record is from RNAcentral. Lineage: Eukaryota; Viridiplantae; Streptophyta; Magnoliopsida; Brassicales; Caricaceae.
UCCUGUUGGGUAAGAUUGUAUGCUCUGCCCUGGAUAAGAGGUCUGGCCUAAUUCUGGUUCCUCGAGCACUCCUUUGCAUAAUAUUGGGCACUACCACAUAUGCGACAGGUAUUGUUUAGGUGAUAGCAGGGUUGGUUCCCAUGAUCCCUGUCAUAAUGCUGAGAGAUCUUACUGCAUCCUGCCACUGGAGUCUGAGGGGGAGCCUGGAUCAUCGGCCUAAGCCUCUUAUUCUGUUGAACAGGCGCAGUAGGUGCU